Molecule: non-coding RNA, 158 nt
Organism: Haematobacter massiliensis
Lineage: Bacteria; Pseudomonadati; Pseudomonadota; Alphaproteobacteria; Rhodobacterales; Paracoccaceae
Rfam family: 6S / SsrS RNA
About the family: E. coli 6S RNA was the first non coding RNA to be sequenced, but its function was unknown until recently. It consists of 184 nucleotides that fold into an extended hairpin structure with a large single-stranded internal bulge.
Source: Rfam
CGGGUUCUGCUCCUCUCGUGCGCAGGCUUUUUUCCAGUGGCCGAUAAGCAUUUCCGAGGGGGCUGGCUCUGCCGGGAUCCUGGUCCCGGUAUCUGGCACCCACCUGGUUAGUCCAGGCUCUCGGGAAAUCACGCCGGCACGGUUGCUGCGGUUCCCGC